RNAcentral lists this ribosomal RNA (382 nucleotides) under uncultured eukaryote. Its description in RNAcentral is "partial 18S ribosomal RNA". It matches the Rfam family "Eukaryotic small subunit ribosomal RNA", at positions 592 to 976 of the family's 1831-position model. The record is from RNAcentral.
UGUAAGCGUAUACCAAAGUUGUUGCAGUUAAAACGCUCGUAGUCGGACUUUGGCAGUUCCGGAUGUGUGCACGUCGUGUGCGCACUUCGCGGGGAUUGCUUUUGUGGUCUUGCGUAGGAUGAGGCACUUUUAUUAGUGAACGUCCUCACGCAACCACUUUUUACUGUGAGAAAAUCAGAGUGCUCAAAGCAGGCAUUUGCCGUGAAUGUAUUAGCAUGGAAUAAUAGAAUAGGACUUGGUUCUAUUUUGUUGGUUUGUUGGGACUGAGUAAUGAUUAAGAGUGACAGUUGGGGGCAUUUGUAUUUCGGUGCUAGAGGUGAAAUUCUUAGAUUACCGAAAGACAAACUGCUGCGAAAGCGUCUGCCAAGGAUGUUUUCAUUGA